GCAUAAUCGGGCGUCAGGGCGCC
RNAcentral lists this non-coding RNA (23 nucleotides) under Cricetulus griseus (Chinese hamster). Lineage: Eukaryota; Metazoa; Chordata; Mammalia; Rodentia; Cricetidae. The record is from RNAcentral.